UAGGUCAAGCCGCGGUGCGGUUCGGGGUCUUAUACCCCCUUCCGAAAUAUGAGCGGCCCGAUCACUUCCCACGUGUCGGGCAUCCGCCAUUGAUGCGCUGUGGGGCUCCGAGCCCACACCGGGCCCAUCUAUCAGGCCACCCGUCGUUCCCCUCGUCAGGCCCGACGCUACAUCCCCGUCCAUCCUCGUCGGAGCUCCGAUCUCCGGCAGCCGAUCCCGAAUCCGCGCAAAAAAACAAGGAAACGCCACCACGUCACCGAUAUCUAGGGUUUCCCUU
This 277-nucleotide long non-coding RNA is filed under the name Hordeum vulgare. Its description in RNAcentral is "long non-coding RNA (HVUL_LNC005243)". Lineage: Eukaryota; Viridiplantae; Streptophyta; Magnoliopsida; Poales; Poaceae. The record is from RNAcentral.